Molecule: long non-coding RNA, 144 nt
Organism: Etheostoma cragini (Arkansas darter)
Lineage: Eukaryota; Metazoa; Chordata; Actinopteri; Perciformes; Percidae
Exons: 3
Source: RefSeq, a predicted model, not a curated record
AUGGCUGCGGCUGAGCAACAGUUGUUUAAAACGGCCUCGGCUGCAACAAUGAAUUAGUUAGACUUGGCUUUUUAAUCUAUAAGAGGAACAGAAGACAGCGCUCAAAUUGUUCCUUUGCAAGAAGGCCUCAUGCUGUUUUGCUGA